This 498-nucleotide ribosomal RNA is filed under the name uncultured bacterium. RNAcentral describes it as "bacterial SSU rRNA". It matches the Rfam family "Bacterial small subunit ribosomal RNA", at positions 1 to 507 of the family's 1533-position model. The record is from RNAcentral.
ACGAGUUUGAUCAUGGCUCAGAUUGAACGCUGGCGGAAUGCUUACACAUGCAAGUCGAACGGUAGAGGGGCAACCCCUUGAGAGUGGCGAACGGGUGAGUAAUAUAUCGGAACGUGCCCAGUCGUGGGGAUAACGUAGCGAAAGUUACGCUAAUACCGCAUACGAUCUAAGGAUGAAAGCGGGGGAUCGCAAGACCUCGCGCGAUUGGAGCGGCCGAUAUCAGAUUAGGUAGUUGGUGAGGUAAAGGCUCACCAAGCCGACGAUCUGUAGCUGGUCUGAGAGGACGACCAGCCACACUGGAACUGAGACACGGUCCAGACUCCUACGGGAGGCAGCAGUGGGGAAUUUUGGACAAUGGACGCAAGUCUGAUCCAGCCAUUCCGCGUGCAGGAUGAAGGCCCUCGGGUUGUAAACUGCUUUUGUACGGAACGAAAAGGUUUCUAUUAAUACUAGGAGCUCAUGACGGUACCGUAAGAAUAAGCACCGGCUAACUACGUG